This 72-nucleotide transfer RNA is filed under the name Pteropus alecto (black flying fox). It matches the Rfam family "tRNA". Rfam says of the family: Transfer RNA (tRNA) molecules are approximately 80 nucleotides in length. Their secondary structure includes four short double-helical elements and three loops (D, anti-codon, and T loops). The record is from Rfam by way of RNAcentral. Lineage: Eukaryota; Metazoa; Chordata; Mammalia; Chiroptera; Pteropodidae.
GGUUCCAUAGUGUAGUGGUUAGCAGACUGCUUUACACGCAGAAGGUACUGGGUUCAAGUCUCAGUGGAGCCA